RNAcentral lists this ribosomal RNA (258 nucleotides) under uncultured bacterium. Its description in RNAcentral is "partial 16S ribosomal RNA". It matches the Rfam family "Bacterial small subunit ribosomal RNA", at positions 1234 to 1500 of the family's 1533-position model. The record is from RNAcentral.
CAGGUACAGCGGGAAGCCACCUGGCGACAGGGAGCGGAACCCGAAAGCCUGUCUCAGUUCGGAUUGGAGUCUGCAACCCGACUCCAUGAAGCUGGAUUCGCUAGUAAUCGCGCAUCAGCCACGGCGCGGUGAAUACGUUCCCGGGCCUUGUACACACCGCCCGUCAAGCCAUGGAAGCUGGGGGUGCCUGAAGUUCGUGACCGCAAGGAGCGACCUAGGGCAAAACCGGUGACUGGGGCUAAGUCGUAACAAGGUAAC